GACGAACGCUGGCGGCGUGCUUAACACAUGCAAGUCGUACGGUAAGGCCCUUUCGGGGGUACACGAGUGGCGAACGGGUGAGUAACACGUGAGUAACCUGCCCACAACUUUGGGAUAACGCUAGGAAACUGGUGCUAAUACUGGAUAUGUGCUCCUGCUGCAUGGUGGGGGUUGGAAAGCUCCGGCGGUUGUGGAUGGACUCGCGGCCUAUCAGCUUGUUGGUGGGGUAGUGGCCUACCAAGGCGGUGACGGGUAGCCGGCCUGAGAGGGUGACCGGCCACAUUGGGACUGAGAUACGGCCCAGACUCCUACGGGAGGCAGCAGUGGGGAAUAUUGCACAAUGGGCGCAAGCCUGAUGCAGCAACGCCGCGUGCGGGAUGACGGCCUUCGGGUUGUAAACCGCUUUCAGCAGGGACGAAGCUUUUUGUGACGGUACCUGCAGAAGAAGCACCGGCUAACAACGUG
RNAcentral lists this ribosomal RNA (465 nucleotides) under uncultured bacterium. RNAcentral describes it as "partial 16S ribosomal RNA". It matches the Rfam family "Bacterial small subunit ribosomal RNA", at positions 28 to 507 of the family's 1533-position model. The record is from RNAcentral.